UGGGGAAUAUUGCGCAAUGGGCGAAAGCCUGACGCAGCGACGCCGCGUGGGUGAUGAAGGCCUUCGGGUCGUAAAGCCCUGUCGGGAGGGAAGAAAUCUCGCCGUUCGAAUAGGGCGGCGACUUGACGGUACCUCCUAAGGAAGCACCGGCUAACUCCGUGCCAGCAGCCGCGGUAAUACGGAGGGUGCAAGCGUUGUUCGGAAUCACUGGGCGUAAAGCGCGUGUAGGCGGCGUUCUAAGUCUGAUGUGAAAGCCCGGGGCUCAACCCCGGAAGUGCAUCGGAUACUGGGAGGCUAGAGUACCGGAGAGGAGGGUGGAAUUCCUGGUGUAGCGGUGAAAUGCGUAGAUAUCAGGAGGAACACCGGUGGCGAAGGCGGCCCUCUGGACGGAUACUGACGCUGAGACGCGAAAGCGUGGGGAGCAAACAGG
RNAcentral lists this ribosomal RNA (430 nucleotides) under uncultured Syntrophobacteraceae bacterium. Its description in RNAcentral is "bacterial SSU rRNA". It matches the Rfam family "Bacterial small subunit ribosomal RNA", at positions 355 to 776 of the family's 1533-position model. Lineage: Bacteria; Pseudomonadati; Thermodesulfobacteriota; Syntrophobacteria; Syntrophobacterales; Syntrophobacteraceae. The record is from RNAcentral.